CUGGACAGAGUGCUUAAUUUCUCUGGACAGACUGUUUCUGCUGCAUUCAGGUCCUGUGUUCCUUCCUUCACAACAGCUGAGCACUGCUAAAUGCUGGGCAGGAUUUGAGGAUCACAGCCUUGAAACAGACAAGUUGUCUUCAAAGAGUUUCUGUUGGAGUUUUGGGGAAGGCAUAAACAUUAAAUAUCAAUAAAUAAGAGUCUAAAUCGGUUGUAAGUGCUAUGAAGAAAAUGAAUACAGUAAUAAAGCAGUCUUUCAGACUUUUUGGACAAAACUCCACUGCAACAAGUGGAUACUUACUGUUAUAUACAACAUAUUAUAUAUACAGCAUAUUAUUGUUGAAACAAGCCUCACAAAACAACACUUAUCUGUACCAUGUGUGGUAUACUGCCAUUUUCUUUUCUUUUGUUUGUUUCCAAAUCCUUGACCUGGGUGUCACUGCCAUUUUCAGUAAAUGCUGUACACACAGCAACUCAAGGAAAUUAUGCUGAGUGGAAAAAAAAAAAAA
Molecule: long non-coding RNA, 508 nt
Organism: Galeopterus variegatus (Sunda flying lemur)
Lineage: Eukaryota; Metazoa; Chordata; Mammalia; Dermoptera; Cynocephalidae
Exons: 2
Source: RefSeq, a predicted model, not a curated record